This 736-nucleotide ribosomal RNA is filed under the name Enterococcus sp. M329. RNAcentral's name for it is "bacterial SSU rRNA". It matches the Rfam family "Bacterial small subunit ribosomal RNA", at positions 56 to 766 of the family's 1533-position model. The record is from RNAcentral. Lineage: Bacteria; Bacillati; Bacillota; Bacilli; Lactobacillales; Enterococcaceae.
UGCAGUCGACGCUUCUUUUUCCACCGGAGCUUGCUCCACCGGAAAAAGAGGAGUGGCGAACGGGUGAGUAACACGUGGGUAACCUGCCCAUCAGAAGGGGAUAACACUUGGAAACAGGUGCUAAUACCGUAUAACAAUCAAAACCGCAUGGUUUUGAUUUGAAAGGCGCUUUCGGGUGUCGCUGAUGGAUGGACCCGCGGUGCAUUAGCUAGUUGGUGAGGUAACGGCUCACCAAGGCCACGAUGCAUAGCCGACCUGAGAGGGUGAUCGGCCACAUUGGGACUGAGACACGGCCCAAACUCCUACGGGAGGCAGCAGUAGGGAAUCUUCGGCAAUGGACGAAAGUCUGACCGAGCAACGCCGCGUGAGUGAAGAAGGUUUUCGGAUCGUAAAACUCUGUUGUUAGAGAAGAACAAGGAUGAGAGUAACUGUUCAUCCUUGACGGUAUCUAACCAGAAAGCCACGGCUAACUACGUGCCAGCAGCCGCGGUAAUACGUAGGUGGCAAGCGUUGUCCGGAUUUAUUGGGCGUAAAGCGAGCGCAGGCGGUUUCUUAAGUCUGAUGUGAAAGCCCCCGGCUCAACCGGGGAGGGUCAUUGGAAACUGGGAGACUUGAGUGCAGAAGAGGAGAGUGGAAUUCCAUGUGUAGCGGUGAAAUGCGUAGAUAUAUGGAGGAACACCAGUGGCGAAGGCGGCUCUCUGGUCUGUAACUGACGCUGAGGCUCGAAAGCGUGGGG